CAGGAGCAGUCAUUCGCUGCGAAUAAUUCAAUUGAUUUUAUUCAUCAGCAGUUGAUUGGGUUGUGAAAAUUGGACGUUGCAUGGUGUAAUUAAAGCCGAGAAUAGUAAGUCAACAAACCUGAAGAUCCACUAAAGAAUGAGCGAGAAGCUUUCAUUGAAGAGGAUGUGAUUACAUUUGGAAUCUUGGAUGCUAGUCGAAAGCUGGCAGCAGACUUUCUCAAUCUC
Cyprinus carpio (common carp) is the source of this 225-nucleotide long non-coding RNA. The record is from Ensembl. NCBI's taxonomy places the organism in Eukaryota, Metazoa, Chordata, Actinopteri, Cypriniformes, Cyprinidae.